CUGACACACGUCUCCGAACUCGGACCAGACUCGCAUUUCAGUGAAAAAUUCGGCAGGGAGGUAUUUUGAAAUACCUCAUAAAAUUCCGAAUCGGGCCCUCUUCUCUCAGCCUUUAAUUAUUUAUUUCCAUCUUUUAAUUUAGAACUCUAAUUUUAAUUUUAGUCCAAGAUUAGAUUAAAUUUCUUUUAUUCCCAUUUUAAAUUUUUAUUUUUUAGAUAUUAUCCUUUUAAUUAUUUUUUUCUUUUUAAGUCCAAAAAGUCCAAAAUCCAAAAAAGGUCCAGGUGCAGAAUAACAGCAUCACGCGUAUGCUGUUCCAGUCCAAAUCCAGUUCACACUGCCUCAUCUGAAACAAAUCCAGUAAAAAAACAAACGCAUUUCCCUUUUUCUCCUCCACAAACUACUGAUUUUUUGCUCAUCAGUAACAAAUCCUAGCCUCAAACUCACUCUAUAAGUAGAGACCUGCACAACAAAGAAAAACACGAAAAAAAACAGAGAACAACAGAACACGGGAAA
This 513-nucleotide long non-coding RNA is filed under the name Medicago truncatula (barrel medic). RNAcentral describes it as "long non-coding RNA (MTRU_LNC006795)". Lineage: Eukaryota; Viridiplantae; Streptophyta; Magnoliopsida; Fabales; Fabaceae. The record is from RNAcentral.